GCUGUGAUGGUGUAGUGGUUAGUACUCUGCAUUGCGGCCACAGCAAUCUCAGUUCAAAUCCGAGUCUCAGCA
This 72-nucleotide transfer RNA is filed under the name Manacus vitellinus (golden-collared manakin). It matches the Rfam family "tRNA". From Rfam's summary of the family: Transfer RNA (tRNA) molecules are approximately 80 nucleotides in length. Lineage: Eukaryota; Metazoa; Chordata; Aves; Passeriformes; Pipridae. The record is from Rfam by way of RNAcentral.